This 262-nucleotide long non-coding RNA is filed under the name Ananas comosus (pineapple). Its description in RNAcentral is "long non-coding RNA (ACOM_LNC037802)". The record is from RNAcentral. Lineage: Eukaryota; Viridiplantae; Streptophyta; Magnoliopsida; Poales; Bromeliaceae.
GAACUCCCCCAGGACUGCAUCAAUCACCGCUGGAUGGUCCUCCUCCUCGAGGUUCUCCGCUCACCUCGCGGAUUGCCGCAAGAUAAGUGAUCUCUCCACGCUUUACCCCCUUCCGCAGUUGCAGAGCGGAGAGGGUGUGGGUUGCCGCUGGCUCGCUGCGGCUAGCCAAGACCAUGCACGGGGCUGCCUCCUCCAUGAUGCUCAAGGCCCCGAGAUGUGGCAUCGGGACCGCUUUCGAUGAAGCUAGAAAGUCGAUGCCGAG